GAUGAACGCUGGCGGCGUGCUUAACACAUGCAAGUCGAACGGGAAACCUUUUAUUGAAGCUUCGGCAGAUUUAGCUGGUUUCUAGUGGCGGACGGGUGAGUAACGCGUGGGUAACCUGCCUUAUACAGGGGGAUAACAACCAGAAAUGGUUGCUAAUACCGCAUAAGCGCACAGGACCGCAUGGUCCGGUGUGAAAAACUCCGGUGGUAUAAGAUGGACCCGCGUUGGAUUAGCUAGUUGGCAGGGUAACGGCCUACCAAGGCGACGAUCCAUAGCCGGCCUGAGAGGGUGAACGGCCACAUUGGGACUGAGACACGGACCAGACUCCUACGGGAGGCAGCAGUGGGGAAUAUUGCACAAUGGGGGAAACCCUGAUGCAGCGACGCCGCGUGAAGGAAGAAGUAUCUCGGUAUGUAAACUUCUAUCAGCAGGGAAGAUAGUGACGGUACCUGACUAAGAAGCCCCGGCUAACUACGUG
RNAcentral lists this ribosomal RNA (478 nucleotides) under uncultured bacterium. RNAcentral describes it as "partial 16S ribosomal RNA". It matches the Rfam family "Bacterial small subunit ribosomal RNA", at positions 28 to 507 of the family's 1533-position model. The record is from RNAcentral.